Molecule: ribosomal RNA, 347 nt
Filed under: uncultured eukaryote
Lineage: Eukaryota
Description: SSU rRNA
Rfam family: Eukaryotic small subunit ribosomal RNA
Source: RNAcentral
AUAGCGUAUAUUAAAGUUGUUGCAGUUAAAAAGCUCGUAGUUGAACUUCGAACCUGGUUGGGUGGUCUGCCUUCACGGUACGUACUGCUCGGCCGGGUUCUACCUCUUGGUGAGCCAGCAUGCCCUUUACUGGGUGUGUUGGGGAACCAGGACUUUUACCUUGAGAAAAUUAGAGUGUUCAAAGCAGGCCUUCGCCCGAAUACAUUAGCAUGGAAUAAUAAAAUAGGACGUGCGGUUCUAUUUUGUUGGUUUCUAGAGUCGCCGUAAUGAUUAAUAGGGAUAGUUGGGGGCAUUGGUAUUGAGUCGCUAGAGGUGAAAUUCUUGGAUUGACUCAAGACCAACUAUUG